Molecule: long non-coding RNA, 612 nt
Organism: Balaenoptera musculus (blue whale)
Lineage: Eukaryota; Metazoa; Chordata; Mammalia; Artiodactyla; Balaenopteridae
Exons: 3
Source: RefSeq, a predicted model, not a curated record
ACUAUAAUAAAUCGGUAACAUAUGUUGCCAGGCAAGGAAAAGUGAUAUAAAUAAAGAGACUAGGAGACCCAAACCAAGCACAAUGUGAAAAGAAUUUAACUUUCAACCUAUUCGUUGGCUAAUUAACAUUUGAAAAGCAAUUUGAAAGUGUAACUGUUAUUUGCUUAUAUUCUUCCUCAUUUUUUUUUUUUUUUUUUUCUCUCUUCAGAUUGCAUUCUUACCCAAAUACUCCUUCGUGAUUGCCUGUUUUGCGGCUUUGGGAUUCUUCAGGGAGUGGAGAACAUUCACAUGGAUGACAUCCCAGUUUUCUCAUCAUGUUGAGUCCAGCUUUUCAUUCACUGACAACUAACUCAAAAAUCUAAAAUUUGAUAUUUUGAGGUUUGUAUUUCCUAAUAUCAAAAAUUCCUUCCUUCUCGUAAGGCAUGUUCUUAAGUGGUCUAUUUCAAACAAAAGAAAAUGACAUUCCCCUUUCAGCUAGCAAAUGUUAGAUUCUCUCAAAGUCGAUUGGGGGCUCACUUGGAAGUUUUGCCAUUAGAGACACACAAAUUGAAUUAUUUUCAUCUCUCCCAAAUAUCAUUCUUCAAACUUUAUAAACGUAGCAAUACUAGGUUU